UGGGGAAUUUUGGACAAUGGGCGCAAGCCUGAUCCAGCCAUGCCGCGUGCGGGAAGAGGGCCUUCGGGUUGUAAACCGCUUUUGUCAGGGAAGAAAUCUUCUGAGUUAAUACCUCGGGAGGAUGACGGUACCUGAAGAAUAAGCACCGGCUAACUACGUGCCAGCAGCCGCGGUAAUACGUAGGGUGCAAGCGUUAAUCGGAAUUACUGGGCGUAAAGCGUGCGCAGGCGGUUUUGUAAGACAGAGGUGAAAUCCCCGGGCUCAACCUGGGAACUGCCUUUGUGACUGCAAGGCUUGAGUGCGGCAGAGGGGGGAUGGAAUUCCGCGUGUAGCAGUGAAAUUGCGUAGAUAUGCGGAGGAACACCGAUGGCGAAGGCAAUCCCCUGGGCCUGCACUGACGCUCAUGCACGAAAGCGU
This 417-nucleotide ribosomal RNA is filed under the name uncultured bacterium. Its description in RNAcentral is "partial 16S ribosomal RNA". It matches the Rfam family "Bacterial small subunit ribosomal RNA", at positions 355 to 762 of the family's 1533-position model. The record is from RNAcentral.